CCUAUUACUUGUUCCACUGAGUAAGAAGGGUACACGUCACAGAUUCUACCGAGAUUCGAACUCGGAUUGCUGGAUUCAGAGUCCAAAAUGCUCAACAUUACAUUACGGAACCGACGUUGAGCAUAUCUACUGUUCGGCUUAGAUUAGCUACCAACAACGAACAGAAAGCAAUGUGCUAGUGAGCAGCCCGAUGUGUUUCAAAGAAAAACGAGCCAGGCAGGAGUCGAACCUACAAUCUUCUGAUCCGUAGUCAGACGCGUUAUCCAUUGCGCCACUGGCCCCGCUGACAGAGCUGCAUCGCACCACAGUGAGCUCCGCGCCGCUAUUGGUACGGCAUCGCCCCGCUCCAGCUUUUCUAACUUGGAUACAGGUGUUGCAUUUUUUUCUACGUUGCGAUCAGAUGAGUCUCAAAUGCCCAGUCCGACAGUAACUGAGCCGGAAUGGAUUGAGAGCUGGAACGAGCUCAUACUCGCUCCCUGUGCUGAAACAGACUUAGCGCUUCCCCGAGCACCGUCUAGAGCUGCUGGAUAGGGCUUUGCGUCCUACUGCUGCUGUCUGCCAGCAGUGACUUUGACGAAGAAUAAGACCGGCAAGACUGCAGUAGGCACGGAAUGAAGACACCCGCAUAUCCACCUUCUUUUUUAGUGAGACGCAAUCACCGUAUCGGACUAACAGCAAUUAUCCUGUUAAACUGCAGCGAAGCGCUCUUACACGCGACUACAUCAGCGCUCUUCCUCUCACAAAUGGCCCGGAGCGCAGGAGAGGAGUAUCUGGAGCCCGACGGUUGUGGUUAUAUCAUGUUUGACUGUUUUUGCACCAGCCGGGAAUCGAACCCGGGUCGCAAGAAUGGGAAUCUUGCAUGAUACCACUACACCACUGGCGCACCUGAGAAAUGAGUCUCCACACGGCUACUUGAGCGCUCUUUCCUCUCACAAAUGACUCAGAGCGCAGGAGCGGAGUAUCUGGAGCCCGAUGGUUAUUGAUCGGUGAUUGUUAAGCAGGACUCCAAAUCUCUGUCGAACCUGAGCGCAGAUUCUUCUUAAUGAUCACACCUGAAGAAGACUCACACCUGAGCAUGGA
This 1080-nucleotide transfer RNA is filed under the name Lepisosteus oculatus (spotted gar). Its description in RNAcentral is "lncRNA (ENSLOCG00000021679.1)". Lineage: Eukaryota; Metazoa; Chordata; Actinopteri; Semionotiformes; Lepisosteidae. The record is from RNAcentral.